AAAAUGUAACUGAGAAUGUCUCUUUUUUUUCUUCUCUCCAUCCCUCACCCUCCUUGGACUCUUCCUGGACUCCUCCUUUCUGUGUUUAACUGCAGACCCUCACUGCUGGUGAAUUAUUGCUGACUCUGAGCUAAGUGGCCUAGUGUUCCCUGUCUACUCCACUUUGGACGUCUUGGUGACUCCUUGGUGAUCUGACAGUGUCCUGCUGGCCAGCAUCUCUCCUCUCUAUCAUAAACGCUCUCUGUCUAUCCUAUACCUUCUAUCCACUCUGUCUCAUUAUUGGAACCUCUAUCUAUCCUAUCAAAUCUACCGCUCUGUCUACAAUAUACAAUUCAGGUUACUAAUACCUGAUCUAACCACAUAACGUUGGUUACCCUUUAUUACCCUUUUUUAUUACCCUUUAACAACCUCAGAAGUACCUGAUCCAUCUUUUGAUGAACAAACUCUGCUGAACCACAUAACGUUGGUUACACUUCGUUACAACAACCUCAGGUUACAAGUACCUGUUCUACUAGAUCUACUAUCAGAUUAUCCUCUUUUAAUCUCCUAUCUACACGCAAUAGAAUACAAUUACUAUCUACAAAUUGGGCAAAGCUUUUGGAAUAAACGGAGUCUGUUUUAGUCAGAAUUAGUUUGAACGUAAAAUUGGAAAAAAGGGUAACAGGAUAGCACGGUUUCUUUAAUUGAAUAUCACUAGAUAUAUUAUCAAAAUUAUUGUUUACUUUAUUUAAAAUCUUUUUUAUAUACGCAUACAUUGUUUAAGUGUCCAAGUGUUUUGUUGUUAAAAUUUUCAUACUGAAAUAAAAUACAAGCAUCUGUCAGAAUUGGA
Long non-coding RNA from Gasterosteus aculeatus aculeatus (three-spined stickleback), 829 nucleotides. RefSeq lists it as uncharacterized. The record is from RefSeq and is a predicted model, not a curated record. NCBI's taxonomy places the organism in Eukaryota, Metazoa, Chordata, Actinopteri, Perciformes, Gasterosteidae.